This is a long non-coding RNA of Arabidopsis thaliana (thale cress), 204 nucleotides long. RefSeq annotates it as other RNA. The record is from RefSeq. The transcript has a single exon. NCBI's taxonomy places the organism in Eukaryota, Viridiplantae, Streptophyta, Magnoliopsida, Brassicales, Brassicaceae.
AAUUUGCAUGUCUUUCUGGUCCAAUAUUAUGAUUGCUUGAGCUCAUUUUACCCCCUUGUUCAAUUUCGUUGUCGUCUGUUCUGGUUCACACUCAAAGACGGUUGGUUUUCCAGCAAAUCCAGAGAAAUAUCAACCUGUAUUGUCGACCAUUGCAAACUUGCUGGCGUUUCAGUAUUUGGUAGGCUUUUAUUUGAAAGACAAGAC